Molecule: long non-coding RNA, 1413 nt
Organism: Cephus cinctus (wheat stem sawfly)
Lineage: Eukaryota; Metazoa; Arthropoda; Insecta; Hymenoptera; Cephidae
Exons: 4
Source: RefSeq, a predicted model, not a curated record
UUACAAAGGGUCGCCAUUAAAACUUGAUUUAUGAAGCGUACGAAAUUGCUGUUCGGACUUAUAUAUUUUUUUUUCUUCUAUUUUUUCUACUAACCAUAUACGUACACUGGAAGUUCUUAGUUUUCAAAUGACAGCAACUCAAAGUUAACCAAUCAGAACGAGACAACAAUAGAAAUGGUGAGUCUGGAUUGCAAAUGUGAAAAAUGUCUCCCGACCUCUACACCUUUCAACUACUUGGAGCGUGAAGCGAUUUCGUUCAGUGGUAUGACAUCAUCAGACUGGAAAACAUCGAUGACUGAUGAUACUUGGGAUUUCAGGAUUUUCCAUAAUAAAGAAAAGAACAGUAGGACGUUUAGUCAUUUUUUUGAACGAACUUUAUUUCACGGUACGUGAACUGUAUUCGCAGGUGCCUAUAGGAUUUAUAUAUUUACACAGAAGACGACGCUGCUAAAAGACGCCGAACAUUUGUAUUUCGGCAGCUAAAUUUAACGGAGGACAAAUCUUAAAAGACGCGCCAAGGAUAGCGUGUUUUCUAGGAAUAGCGAGUAAGGAAAUAGAAAAGAAAAUUACAAAGCGAGACACAUGCAUAUUUCAUGUAACGUUAUCCGGCUAGGAAUCGAAUUAUCGGGACGCCACAAAAGCUCACCACGGGUCGAUAGGUAUUGACCGAGACGUCGGGACGCUUCAAUUGUUAUACAAUGGAAAAGCGUCAAUCGUGACGUAUUCAUGUAAAAAUAAUUUUAAUUCUGGUGAAUGGCCCGUCUGUUUCUUGUCGAUUCCUAAUAAGGAAUUUAAACGUCAGAUUAUCAUUGAUAGAAGCGAAUGAAUAUGCAUUGCUUACAGUCUGCAUCGAUUGGAUGAACGGAUUUGUUACGGGAGAUACGAAAAUCAAUAGUGGAAUUCUAUUUUGUUAUGCAUAUGGAGAUGUUGCUUUUUUUAUUUAAUGUGGAAAUUAUUACGGUCGUUUUCAUUAUUCAAAUUAGGCACGACAGUUGAUAGAGUUUUUGGUAUAAGAUGUGUAGUACGGUGAGCGUGUGCAUUUACGACUUUCAUUUUCUUUUGAAACGCGAAGACUGGAACUUAACGAAGAUUUGAGAAGAAUGCAUUUUAAAGUAGUCGUUUUGCAUAAUUGUACGGGAUCCUCGCGUGCCACAGAGUUGGUCCGUUGGAAAGAGAAGAGAAAGAAAAAUCGUUUGGUCUCGUUUCUAUCUUGUAAGGUAAAAGGUAUAAGCCUGCAAUUUACAUGCAUUUGGAAAUAUCAUGGAAAAUAUGGGAGAUUGUCAAUUCUAUUUUUUCUGUUUUUCAAUGUGUUUUCGUCUAUGGAGAUAAACGGUUUGAAUAUAUAGCCGUUGGGAAGUCAAAUCAAAAGAUACAAAUUUAUGAUUUUAAUGACUAGUCUUAUGCUUUUUUUAU